Molecule: long non-coding RNA, 371 nt
Organism: Ochotona princeps (American pika)
Lineage: Eukaryota; Metazoa; Chordata; Mammalia; Lagomorpha; Ochotonidae
Exons: 3
Source: RefSeq, a predicted model, not a curated record
AAAUCCAAGACAAGGAAAAUAGCGCCCAAGGAUUGAUUCAGCAAUAAAUUGUUAUCAGAUGCAUACUAAUGGCUCCAGCCCAUAUUCACUUACACUCAGUAGAGAGAGAGAGAGAGAGAGAGUGUUUCCAGUUGCUGGUUCACUCCUGAAGUGCACACAGUGAGCAGGACUGGCUUGGAUAGAAGCCAUGAGGCAGUAACUCAGGCCAGCAACGUCACGGGACACUUCAAAGACACCUGGUGGCUAGUGGCAUUGGGAAAUCUCACAUAGGGAUGCUUUUCAAACCUUAAUGUUCACUCAAGUCACUGUUCAAAAAGACCAUUCUGAUACAUUCUGUACAGGAGCGGGCCUGAGAGUGGGCAUUUGUGAUA